RNAcentral lists this ribosomal RNA (254 nucleotides) under uncultured bacterium. Its description in RNAcentral is "partial 16S ribosomal RNA". It matches the Rfam family "Bacterial small subunit ribosomal RNA", at positions 524 to 776 of the family's 1533-position model. The record is from RNAcentral.
UACGUAGGGGGCAAGCGUUAUCCGGAUUUACUGGGUGUAAAGGGAGCGUAGGUGGCAUGGUAAGCCAGAAGUGAAAACCCGGGGCUCAACCCCGCGGAUUGCUUUUGGAACUACCAGGCUGGAGUGCUGGAGGGGUAAGCGGAAUUCCUAGUGUAGCGGUGAAAUGCGUAGAUAUUAGGAGGAACACCGGUGGCGAAGGCGGCUUACUGGACAGAAACUGACACUGAGGCUCGAAAGCGUGGGGAGCAAACAGG